Molecule: ribosomal RNA, 253 nt
Filed under: uncultured bacterium
Lineage: Bacteria
Description: partial 16S ribosomal RNA
Rfam family: Bacterial small subunit ribosomal RNA
Source: RNAcentral
UACGGGGGGGGCAAGCGUUGUUCGGAAUUACUGGGCGUAAAGGGCGCGUAGGCGGCCUUCUAAGUCGGACGUGAAAUCCCUCGGCUUAACCGAGGAACUGCGUCCGAUACUGAAAGGCUUGAAUCCGGGAGAGGGAUGUGGAAUUCCAGGUGUAGAGGUGAAAUUCGUAGAUAUUGGCUGGAACACCGGUGGCGAAAGCGGCUCUCUGGCCCGGUUCUGACGCUGAGGCGCGAAAGCGUGGGGAGCAAACAGG